CUCAACACCAAGUCUGUGUAAAAAGGAAAUCAACCAUCUCCAUAGAAUUUAAUCCAUGUUUAUGAGAAAAACUCAGUAAAUGUAUAAUUAUUGGAGAAUUAGGAAUGAAAAAUAGAGAUCUGAUUUACUUAGCUCUUUCACUUAAAUAAUGCGGCAAGGGGAGCGAGUUUGGUGGAAUGUAUACUUUACUGUAAUUGAGUGAGGGAAUUAGACCAUUUCGCCCACUCUGAGGACAUCGCGUAAGAACAAGCGCAGGAGCUUGUGCCCUUGUCCAGUGGUCGAGAGGAGUCUUUCCCCUGCUUUGGGACCGCCCUGUCCUCCUCUUCAGCCACUGGUGCUGGUAAAAGUCCAG
Molecule: long non-coding RNA, 352 nt
Filed under: Chinchilla lanigera (long-tailed chinchilla)
Lineage: Eukaryota; Metazoa; Chordata; Mammalia; Rodentia; Chinchillidae
Description: lncRNA (ENSCLAG00000023541.1)
Source: RNAcentral